This 876-nucleotide ribosomal RNA is filed under the name Pediococcus acidilactici. RNAcentral's name for it is "bacterial SSU rRNA". It matches the Rfam family "Bacterial small subunit ribosomal RNA", at positions 61 to 892 of the family's 1533-position model. Lineage: Bacteria; Bacillati; Bacillota; Bacilli; Lactobacillales; Lactobacillaceae. The record is from RNAcentral.
GUCGAACGAACUUCCGUUAAUUGAUUAUGACGUGCUUGCACUGAAUGAGAUUUUAACACGAAGUGAGUGGCGGACGGGUGAGUAACACGUGGGUAACCUGCCCAGAAGCAGGGGAUAACACCUGGAAACAGAUGCUAAUACCGUAUAACAGAGAAAACCGCCUGGUUUUCUUUUAAAAGAUGGCUCUGCUAUCACUUCUGGAUGGACCCGCGGCGCAUUAGCUAGUUGGUGAGGUAACGGCUCACCAAGGCGAUGAUGCGUAGCCGACCUGAGAGGGUAAUCGGCCACAUUGGGACUGAGACACGGCCCAGACUCCUACGGGAGGCAGCAGUAGGGAAUCUUCCACAAUGGACGCAAGUCUGAUGGAGCAACGCCGCGUGAGUGAAGAAGGGUUUCGGCUCGUAAAGCUCUGUUGUUAAAGAAGAACGUGGGUGAGAGUAACUGUUCACCCAGUGACGGUAUUUAACCAGAAAGCCACGGCUAACUACGUGCCAGCAGCCGCGGUAAUACGUAGGUGGCAAGCGUUAUCCGGAUUUAUUGGGCGUAAAGCGAGCGCAGGCGGUCUUUUAAGUCUAAUGUGAAAGCCUUCGGCUCAACCGAAGAAGUGCAUUGGAAACUGGGAGACUUGAGUGCAGAAGAGGACAGUGGAACUCCAUGUGUAGCGGUGAAAUGCGUAGAUAUAUGGAAGAACACCAGUGGCGAAGGCGGCUGUCUGGUCUGUAACUGACGCUGAGCUCGAAAGCAUGGGUAGCGAACAGGAUUAGAUACCCUGGUAGUCCAUGCCGUAAACGAUGAUUACUAAGUGUUGGAGGGUUUCCGCCCUUCAGUGCUGCAGCUAACGCAUUAAGUAAUCCGCCUGGGGAGUACGACCGCAAG